RNAcentral lists this long non-coding RNA (660 nucleotides) under Equus asinus (donkey). Its description in RNAcentral is "lncRNA (ENSEASG00005025317.1)". Lineage: Eukaryota; Metazoa; Chordata; Mammalia; Perissodactyla; Equidae. The record is from RNAcentral.
GCCCAGAGGGUAAAGGGAUAGGGAAUAAGGCCGCUGGGAGCACGAGAGGAAGAGGGAGAGGAGUGCCAUUCCAGAGCAGAAGGGAAAAUGAGACUAGAAAAAGGGAGAAGGGCUGGAAAGAAACAUGUGUGGGAUUCUCAUCUUACCUGGAACUCUAAUAGACACAGAAGAUAAAAGGCAGAGAUGCUGUGGUCUCAAGGAGUUGCUCUCCAAAGACACGAUAGCCCAGACCUACAACAGGGCACAUCUGUGUUAAUGAAAUUGCUUUCAAGAUGACCUGAUCUGCCCACAACAUCACUGCUGGAAUAACCUUUCUCCAACUCUGCUUUCACCAUGGCACAUCGACCUUGAUUUUAGACCCUAUAAUGCCUCAUUUUUUUGUUUAUUGCAUAAAGUCCUUGGAACUUCCAAGUCCAGGGAACUUCCUUGCUUAGUUCCCAGGGCUCUGCAAACUCUAGUUCCAAGGUAGCACUUCUCUGACCUCGCUUCCUACCAACCAGCUUACUAUUUAUUAGUAGUAUAUCUUACUAUUAUACACAUGCCUAUAUGCAUGCCAAGCUGUUCCACCUUUUAUCGUCAUCUUCUGUGUUCAAGGUCCAAAUAAACCAUAGUCUACUUUGAAACUUUCCCUACAGUAGUAGCUCAUGUAGAUCUUUCUAU